CCUACGGCGUGCAGCAGUGGGGAAUAUUGGACAAUGGGCGAAAGCCUGAUCCAGCCAUGCCGCGUGUGUGAAGAAGGCCUUCGGGUUGUAAAGCACUUUCAGUGGGGAAGAAAGCCUUGGGGCUAAUACCCUCGAGGAAGGACAUCACCCACAGAAGAAGCACCGGCUAACUCCGUGCCAGCAGCCGCGGUAAUACGGAGGGUGCGAGCGUUAAUCGGAAUUACUGGGCGUAAAGCGCGCGUAGGCGGUCUGAUAAGCCGGUUGUGAAAGCCCCGGGCUCAACCUGGGAACGGCAUCCGGAACUGUCAGGCUAGAGUGCAGGAGAGGAAGGUAGAAUUCCCGGUGUAGCGGUGAAAUGCGUAGAGAUCGGGAGGAAUACCAGUGGCGAAGGCGGCCUUCUGGACUGACACUGACGCUGAGGUGCGAAAGCGUGGGUAGCAAACAGGAUUAGAUACCCGAUAGUC
Molecule: ribosomal RNA, 464 nt
Filed under: Vreelandella stevensii
Lineage: Bacteria; Pseudomonadati; Pseudomonadota; Gammaproteobacteria; Oceanospirillales; Halomonadaceae
Description: partial 16S ribosomal RNA
Rfam family: Bacterial small subunit ribosomal RNA
Source: RNAcentral